Molecule: ribosomal RNA, 565 nt
Filed under: uncultured Staphylococcus sp.
Lineage: Bacteria; Bacillati; Bacillota; Bacilli; Caryophanales; Staphylococcaceae
Description: bacterial SSU rRNA
Rfam family: Bacterial small subunit ribosomal RNA
Source: RNAcentral
AGAGUUUGAUCCUGGCUCAGGAUGAACGCUGGCGGCGUGCCUAAUACAUGCAAGUCGAGCGAACGGACGAGAAGCUUGCUUCUCUGAUGUUAGCGGCGGACGGGUGAGUAACACGUGGAUAACCUACCUAUAAGACUGGGAUAACUUCGGGAAACCGGAGCUAAUACCGGAUAAUAUUUUGAACCGCAUGGUUCAAAAGUGAAAGACGGUCUUGCUGUCACUUAUAGAUGGAUCCGCGCUGCAUUAGCUAGUUGGUAAGGUAACGGCUUACCAAGGCAACGAUGCAUAGCCGACCUGAGAGGGUGAUCGGCCACACUGGAACUGAGACACGGUCCAGACUCCUACGGGAGGCAGCAGUAGGGAAUCUUCCGCAAUGGGCGAAAGCCUGACGGAGCAACGCCGCGUGAGUGAUGAAGGUCUUCGGAUCGUAAAACUCUGUUAUUAGGGAAGAACAUAUGUGUAAGUAACUGUGCACAUCUUGACGGUACCUAAUCAGAAAGCCACGGCUAACUACGUGCCAGCAGCCGCGGUAAUACGUAGGUGGCAAGCGUUAUCCGGAAUUAUU